This 1422-nucleotide ribosomal RNA is filed under the name Triticum aestivum (bread wheat). RNAcentral describes it as "partial small subunit ribosomal RNA". The record is from RNAcentral. Lineage: Eukaryota; Viridiplantae; Streptophyta; Magnoliopsida; Poales; Poaceae.
AUGGAAAUGGCAGCGGCGGCUGCCGGCGCCGGUGCGGGCCGGCUGGAGGUGGUGGUCUUCCCGUGGCUGGCGUUCGGGCACAUGAUCCCUUUUCUGGAGCUCUCCAAGCGCCUCGCCGCAAGGGGCCACGCCGUCGCCUUCGUGUCAACCCCGCGGAACCUCGCCAGGCUGCCGCCCAUGCCGGCGCACCUGUCUGCCCGCAUCCGCUUCGUGGCGCUGCCGCUGCCGGCUGUGGAGGGCUUGCCGGAGGGCGCCGAGGCCACGUCUGACCUGCCGCCCGACAAGGUCGAGCUGCUCAAGAAGGCCAUGGACGGCCUCGCCGGCCCGCUCGCGUCGUUCCUCGCGGACGCCGUCGCCGCCGGCAGGAGGCCCGACUGGGUCAUCCUCGACUUCUGCCACCACUGGGUCCCGCCCGUCGCCGACCAGCACAAGGUGCCAUGCGCGGCGUUCCUGAUCUUCCAUGCCGCCUGCAUGGCCUUUAUUGGGCCGCGGUGGGCGAACGACGACGCGUACCCACGCACGAAGCCAGAGGACUUCACCGUGCCACCAAAGUGGAUCCCCUUCCCGUCCACCACCGUCUUCCUCCACCACGAGGCCCGGCGGAUGCUCGCGGAUAACUUCGGUGAGAACGCGUCAGGCAGGUCGGACACUGACCGUUUGUGGGACGUCUUCGAGCGUUGCUGCCUCACCAUCCACCGGAGCUGUCGCGAGCUGGAGCCUCGCAUGUUCACCCUCCUCUCUGAUCUCUUGCGGAAGCCCGCCGUCCCCGCCGGGAUCCUUCUACCGGAGGCGGUUGAGGACCGUGAUCAAGACCACCGGCAGAGCAGCUCAGGUGGCGUCCUGCGUUGGCUCGACGACCAGCCUCCUAAGUCUGUCCUCUACGUCGCGCUGGGAAGCGAGGCGCCACUGACGCUAGAGAACAUCCAUGAACUCGCGCUCGGACUGGAGCUCGCCGGGGUGCACUUCCUUUGGGCGCUACGCAAGCCGGCCGGCACCAACAACGAGCAGGAGCUGUUGCCGGCCGGCUUCGAGGAGCGGAUGCAGGACCGUCGGAUGGUCUGCACAGGGUGGGUGCCGCAGGUGAAGGUACUCGGUCACGGCGCCACGGCCGCGUUCUUGACGCACUGCGGGUGGGGCUCCACCAUUGAGAGCUUCGCCUUCGGGCUUCCGCUGGUCAUGCUGCCUUUCCUCACCGACACGCCUAUGAUUGCACGGGAGAUGGCGAAAAGAGGGAUCGGUGUGGAGGUGGCGAGGGACGAUAGCGAUGGCUCGUUCGACAGGGACGGUGUCGCAGUGAACGUGCGGCAUGUCAUGGUGGAGGAUGAAGGAAACGUGUUUUCAGGGGCGGAGCCAGGAUUUGGACAUAGGGGGGGCCAAGCAAAGUUGGAAAAAAAAAUACCGCUUCCUUGCUAUAGAGUAUAG